Molecule: long non-coding RNA, 6595 nt
Filed under: Homo sapiens (human)
Lineage: Eukaryota; Metazoa; Chordata; Mammalia; Primates; Hominidae
Description: HSALNT0352841
Source: RNAcentral
UAACGUGCAGGUUUGUUACAUAUGUGUACAUGUGCCAUGUUGGUGUGCUGCACCCAUUAACUCAUCAUUUACAUUAGGUAUAUCUCCUAAUGCUAUCCCUCCCCGCUCCCCCCACUCCACAACAGGCCCCGGUGUGUGAUGUUCCCCUUCCUGUGUCCAUGUGUUCUCAUUGUUCAAUUCCCACCUAUGAGUGAGAACAUGCAGUGUUUGGGUUUUUGUCCUUGCGAUAGUUUGCUGAUAAUGAUGGUUCCCAGCUUCAUCCAUGUCCCUACAAAGGACAUGAACUCAUCAUUUUUUACAGCUGCAUAGUAUUCCAUGGUGUAUAUAUGCCACAUUUUCUUAAUCCAGUCUAUCAUUGUUGGACAUUUGGGUUGGUUCCAAGUCUUUGCUGUUGUGAAUAGUGCCGCUGUAAACAUACGUGUGCAUGUGUCUUUAUAGCAGCAUGAUUUAUAAUCCUUUGGGUAUAUACCCAGUAAUGGGAUGGCUGGGUCAAAUGGUAUUUCUAGUUGUAGAUCCCUGAGGAAUUGCCACACUGACUUCCACAAUGGUUGAACUAGUUUACAGUCCCAUCAACAGUGUAAAAGUGUUCCUAUUUCUCCACAUCCUCUCCAGCACCUGUUGUUUCCUGACUUUUUAAUGAUUGCCAUUCUAACUGGUGUGAGAUGUUAUCUCAUUGUGGUUUUGAUUUGCAUUUAUCUGAUGGCCGGUGAUGAUAAGCAUUUUUUCAUGUGUCUUUUGGGUGCAUAAAUGUCUUCUUUUGAGAAGUGUCUGUUCAUAUCCUUUGCCCACUUUUUGAUGGGGUUGUUUGUUUUUUUCUUGUAAAUUUGUUUGAGUUCUUUGUAGAUUCUGGAUAUUAGCCCUUUGUCAGAUGAGUAGAUUGCAAAAAUGUUCUCCCAUUCUGUAGGUUCCCUGUUCACUCUGACGGUAGUUUCUUUUGCUGUGCAGAAGCUCUUUAGUUUAAUUAGAUCCCAUUUGUCAAUUUUGGCUUUUGUUGCCACUGCUUUUGGUGUUUUAGACAUGAAGUCCUUGCCCAUGCCUAUGUCCUGAAUGGUAUUGCCUAGGUUUUCUUCUAGGGUUUUUAUGGUUUUAGGUCUAACAUUAAAGUCUUUAAUCCAUCUUGAAUUAAUUUUUGUAUAAGGUGUAAGGAAGGGAUCCAGUUUCAGCUUUCUACAUAUGGCUAGCCAGUUUUCCCAGCACCAUUUAUUAAACAGGGAAUCCUUUCCUCAUUUCUCGUUUUUGUCAGGUUUGUCAAAGAUCAGAUAGUUGUAGAUGUGUGGCAUUAUUUCUGAGGGCUUUGUUCUGUUCCAUUGGUCUAAAUCUCUGUUUUGGUACCAGUACCAUGCUGUUUUGGUUACCAUAGCCUUGUAGUAUAGUUUGAAGUCGGUAGUUUGAAGUCAGGAACAAAGCCUGUAGUAUAGUUUGAAGUCAGGAACAAAGCCUCCAGCUUUGUUCUUUUGGCUUAGGAUUGACUUGGAAAUGCAGGCUCUUUUUUGGUUCCAUAUGAACUUUAAAGUAGUUUUUUCCGGUUCUGUGAAGAAAGUCAUUGGUAGCUUGAUGGGGAUGGCAUUGAAUCUAUAAAUUACCUUGGGCAGUAUGGCCAUUUUCAUGAUAUUGAUUCUUCCUACCCAUGAGCAUGGAAUGUUCUUCCAUUUGUUUGUAUCCUCUUUUAUUUCAUUGAGCAGUGGUUUGUAGUUCUACUUGAAGAGGUCCUUCAUAUCCCUUGUAAGUUGGAUUCCUAGGUAUUUUAUUCUCUUUAAAGCAAUUGUGAAUGGGAGUUCAUUCAUCAUUUGGCUCUCUGUUUGUCUAUUAUUGGUGUAUAAGAAUGCUUGUGAGUUUUGCACAUUGAUUUUGUAUCCUCAGACUUUGCCGAAAUUGCUUAUCAGCUUAAGGAGAUUUUGGGCUGAGACGAUGGGGUUUUCUAGAUAUACAAUCAUGUCAUCAAAUCUUAGUAAAUGCCAUUGUCUCUUAUUUCUCUGAUCAUCCUUUGGGAACUUUAGGCACAAUCUGUCUCUGUUUGUCUGUCUCUUGCCCUCUCUCCUUUUUUCUCUCAUCUUCUCAUUUUGGGUUACUGGAUAACAGUGGUCCGAGAAGUUACAUAUGUUUCAUGGGACUUUAACAUCUCUGUAACAUUGUUGCAAAGACAGCACAUGAUAAAAGUUUGUUUUUUCAAUUCCAACGAACAUGUUUGGAUAUGUAUAUGAUUGCCAUUUAAAUAGCAAAAAUAUAUGCAAUAACCUAUACAAAACUUCUGUAAAGAAAAUGCUAUUGACAGCUGUAAUAAUGCCACUAACUUUUGUUUCCUCCUCUAUUACUUCUCAUAAAAGUUUCCAAGGCCUCUCAUAUUCCAAGACUUUUGCUCAGUAAAGCUAAACAUCACCUUGCCUAUAAAGCAUAAGUACUUGAAAGAAAAUCCAUGCUGCCAAAGAAGAAGAAGCAGUAACCCAUACUUUCUUUAUUUCAACCAUUUCAAAAAUAAUCAGGUUCACAGCUGAGCAAUGACCUUUCCAAGAGAAAAGUGGUGUGAUGACAGAUCAGGUGAUUUGACAAUGAGGUGCUAAUGGCUUAGAGUUAUUUUCACGUUCUCUAUUGCUAGAAAGAUCCUGUUCAGAAUUCAAAAUCAGCUAUAUGUUCAAACUGCAGCCUGUGGCAAGGAGACAUACACUUGGCCUAAGACAGUGCAGUGUUUGAAAGUAGAGCGGACCUUGAAAUCUGCUGCUUUACUACUUAAAAUUAUUCAUCUUGAAAGGAACCUCAAAGAAGAUACAGCCAGCAUUUAUCAAAGUGGAGUCUCUAAUUUCAAGAAUUCACAAAAAUCAAGAUUCUUGGGCUAUGCUCCAGACCCAUUUAAUCUGAAUUUCUGGGGUUUGGCCCUGAGAAAAUGAUUUUUAAAGAAACUCCACAGGAUUCUGAUUCAUACUAAUGUUUGUGAAUCAAUAUUCUAGAUCAUCCUUCACUUUGUAUGAAUUGGUGAUUUAUUGUUGCCACAAAUAUGCUGGUUGUUUGAGUGACCAAAGUAAAGAUAAUUUUCAGUUAGCAGGCUGAUUUCCCUCCAUUUGAGUUUAUGAUACAAUAUCUGCAUUAAUUUAAUGAAUAUAUGUAUGCUUGAUUUGCUACAACUGAAAAAAAACAUUUUUGGCAAGGGAAAAUCUUUAUCCCGUAACAACAACUUUUGCGAAAAUCUGCGUUUUUUUCUCAUACUAUAUAAUGCAAGAACUUAUCUUCAUUUAAGAGCUUGAUUGGAACAACUCUAGGUUGUAACAUCACGAAAACACAUCCAUGCAUGAGAUAAAAAAAAUACUUUCAAUGACACUUUUCUUUAGACACAAGUUACUUGAAAUAAUAUAUCAAUAGGUAUCAAAGGCUAAAAGAGAAAAAUACAGUCGAGAAAUCCUAGUUGCAUGGCCUUGAUGAAGAUGCACAGAGAUAGGUAUAUUACAUAAAAUUACAUGAGUACAGAAAACCCAGGGUUAAGAGUUUAGUUUAACUUUGCCUUGCCAAUUUUAUGUAGAGAUAGCUUAGCUGAGUGGUUCUGCUGUAGGAUCUCUCAUGAGUUUGUACUCAAGGUGUUGGCUGGGGCUGCAGUCAGCUACAACUUUUCCUGGGGCUGGAAAAUGUAAUUCCAAAAUUACUCAAAUGGCUGUUGGCAAAAGGUCCCAGCUCCUUGCCACAUGGACCUCUCCAUAGGGCUGUAGAUGAGAUGACAGCUGGUGUCUCUCAGAACACAUGAUUGAAUAGCAAAGAGAGUUACAUCACACUGCGUUUAUGACCUAGUCUCUGGGUCACUUCUGCCUUAUUCUAUUCGAAGUGAAUCAGGACAUCUAACCCACACUCAACAGGAGGAGACUAUAGAAGAAUAUGAAUAUGUGUCAGGAGGCAAGGAUCACCGGGGUUCAUAUUGGAGGCUGGUUUCUUUAACGAGGCCACCUUGGUAGGAGAAAGUAAGAAGAUAUGACCAGUUAUCUCCUCCAUCAGACAAAGGCACUAUUGAUUGUUCAGGAAAUUAAGUGGCCCCCUUUGCACCACAGUGCAAAAAAUGUACUCUUCUUUGGUGAAUCUUUAUUAUGUUGAUUGUUAAAGUGAUAUCUGUACAUAUUAAAUGUGUUAUGGCCUUAAGUGUUACAAUCCUUGCUCUGUGUAUAUUUACAUUUAUAUGUGUAUCAAUAUUCUCAAGCAGGAACACAGCACUGCCCUUCCAGCUCCCUCCCCCAGCUAGAGGACAUCUGGCAAUUUGACAUUUUGGUUGUCACAAUCUAGGGGACAGGGCUACUACUAGCAUCUACAGGGUAGAGCCAGUGGUACUGCUAAAUAUCUUAUAAUCCAUAGUACUGCUCCUGCAAUGAAGAAUUAUCUGGCUUAUGAUGUCAAUAAAAAUAAUAAUUUUCAUCAGAAAAGAGUUGUAUCAUUUUCAAAACACUUUCACAUGCAUUAUUUUAUUGAUGCUCAUAAAGUCAUUGUGAGGUAAUAAGCUUUCUAAUUUAUGGAUGAGGAAAUUGAGGUUUAAAAGGGAAAAGUGACUUUACCAAUGUCAUAUUACUAGAAAAGUGAAGGUGUUAGAGCACGAAAAUUAAUCUUCAGCCCUCUCUUACUUUCCAUACUUUUUCCUGGCAAUGUCCUGUGGGCAAAGAUAAAUGUGCCAGUCUCCUUCACUUCAAGCCCAGCAUGGUACUUUCCACUUGCUAGAGCUUCAAAAAUGUGUUUGUUGAUUGACUAAUUAUAAAUGACAUCAAGGACAGUCAACUGUAUUAUUCCCCCCUAGUUUUUAAAUAAGAAAUGUCAACUGAUAUGGUUUGACUCUGUCCCCACUCAGAUCUCAUCUUGAGUUGUAGCUCCCACAAUUCCCACAUGUGGCUGGUGAUAGCUGGUGGGAGGUAAUUGAAUCAUGGGGGCAGGCCUUUCCCAUGCUGCUCUCGUGAUAGCGAAUAAGUCCAUGAGCUCUGAUGGUUUUAUCAAGGGGAAACCCCUUUCACUUGGCUCCUACUCUCUCUUGUCUGCCACCACGUAAGACAUGCCUUUGCUUCCCCUUUGCCUUCAGCCAUGAUUGUGAGGCCUGCCCAGCCAUGUGAAACUGUGAGUCAAUUUAACCUCUUCCAUUUAGAAAUUACGCAGUCUCAGGUAAGUCUUUAGUAGCAAUGUGAGAACAGACUAAUAUAACAACUCAGAUCCCUAGGAAAGAUUUCUGUGUAAUUCAACAUACAUUUCCUGUUUUACAUGAAUAGAUGGCUGUAGCAUGUCUGGUUGUUUUUUUUUUUGUUUGUUUGUUGUUUUGUUUUUUUUUUUUUUAAUUUUGCUCUGGUGUAAAUCUUAGAGUAGUUCAAAAUGUAAAACCCCAAAACUUUUAGCUAGCAACAGGAUGUAGCCAUUCCGUGGCUUCCUUUUAACUGAAUAUGCACAGGCAGAGGAGCCAAGAGAAGGAACCAGCUUUUCUGAGUGACAGCAUAUUUCAAAGACAGGUAAAGGACAAACUGGAACAGAACUGGGGGUAAUACAUUGAAAACAAAACAAAACACAACAAGAAACAGUAACACGCAUGGAUCUCUGCCCAGAUUCCCACCCAAAAACUAAUUUAUUAAGCUGAUAUAAUAACACUGUGCAACAAUAGCCAGGCUAGCUUAGCUUUAUAUUUAGCUCAAGAAGCAAUUAAAGACAAAAAGAAAAAGAACACUCAUACUGUACAUGAUGAACAAAUCACAAGAUGUUCAACACAUUUGUUUAGCAGACAGUAGAAACAAUCCACCUGCAAUUUUUGAAAUGUUCUCCAAACUUGGGUUAAAAUUUUGUAAAACUGAAGCAAGCAGCUAACUUGGUCAAUUCAGUUAAGGGGGGAAGAAAACCCAUAGUUAUUUGGCAAUAUGUCAAAAUACGUUCUGACAGAGAAAAAAACUCCACAUUCAAACUGAUGAUUUGGCUGAAAUUUUCACUUUUUAAUUGGCGCUUCUGUUCUGAUCUGAGGCAGGCUAUUUUUUUAUUUUUAGCAUUCUUUACCUUCUUCCAUGCUUAGAGUCUCAGUUUUUUCUCAUCUUCUGUUUCACAAAGGUUCUAGCUACUGGAACUGAUCUUACUUUUAUCAGUACAUGUAUCAAUUUUUCUACCUCAUGUAUGAGUGCAUAUUGAAUUUCUUUUUAAAACUGAGGACAAAAUUAACUAUGAAUCUUUGCUGUGAGUGCUUGAUAUUUAACAUUGAAAUAUUGAAUGAAGAAGGAGACAGAUUUAUGGUCAACAUGGGAGAUCAUGAGUUCAGUUUUUGUCUAUUUCCAACUUUAGUUUUCUGUUUUCUCAAUAUUUACAAAGAAUAUAAAGGUGAGAAUAAGAUUGUUUGCAAACCUUCUCUAUUAAAAACUUUAUUAUAUAAAUAAAUAUAAAUAUAUGGUUAUAUUUUAGUGCUUCCCUGAUGUAAGGUGAAUGAAAAUUUCCCCUCUCCCGCUUAGUCUUGUCUUAUAUUAUCUGAUGAUUUUUAAAAUAUUAAAUAGACUGGGUUUAAAUAAAUCGAUGGCAUUUGAUGAAAAAUAUUUGAUAUGGUAAAGUAAUGCUGUCAGAAAGUAAGUAAAUAAGCCAGAUUGUUUUCAUUAUUAUGUUAAAGCUGAUAAUGUACCUGUUC